UUCAAGUAGGGGUUAGAAUAUUUCAAUUCUUUAAAACAAAGUCAAUAAAUGAAGAUGGUGGCAUCAACAAAGCUGAGAGGAACAGAAUCUUCAAAGAGAAGAUUUACAUAGCUACCCUUAAGUGUAAUGCAUCUCUAGUUUUUGCAGCUAUUGGUGGAGGAAUUGGUGCAACUCUUUGUCGUCCUUCGGUUGGUCAAUGGAUCGGGUGUGUUGUUGGUGAUUUGACUGGCCCAGUUAUUGUAGCAGUGGUUGCUAAUAGAGCUUUUGACUGGAACCUCUAAUAUUGUUUAUGGUUUUUUUUAAUUUAUUUUCUAUAAUUGAAUUCAAAUAAGAGUGUAGUCCUUGAAUUUUUAUACAUUAUCAUUUAUAUUUUCUUUAAAUGCAUUAUUGUUGUUUGAGUGA
Vicia villosa (hairy vetch) is the source of this 402-nucleotide long non-coding RNA. RefSeq lists it as uncharacterized. Lineage: Eukaryota; Viridiplantae; Streptophyta; Magnoliopsida; Fabales; Fabaceae. The transcript is spliced from 2 exons. The record is from RefSeq and is a predicted model, not a curated record.